UUUAAUAUGGCAGAUUAGUGCAAUGAGUUUAAGUUUCAUUUAAAAAAUUAAAAUAUUUUUAUUAAAA
RNAcentral lists this transfer RNA (67 nucleotides) under Leptopilina boulardi. RNAcentral describes it as "tRNA-Leu". The record is from RNAcentral. Lineage: Eukaryota; Metazoa; Arthropoda; Insecta; Hymenoptera; Figitidae.